AAUUGAUGUUGUGAGAUUUCUGUCCAACACCACGAGCAGAGAAGGCUGUGAUCAGCCCCAGUCUACAGGGAGGAGACCAGGAGCCCGUCAGAGGCCCAGGGUAUACACCUCACUGCUUUGGGGCACUCCUCCAUUGGAUUUACUGUACAGUCCUCGUCAACAUCGACUUCUAGCAAUGGAAUCGGUACUGAAUAUGGAUCACGAACUGCUUCUCACCAGGUAGCGGCUCAGACUCAUUGCUGCUUGUGCUUUCUGAUUGGAGUGGACCCUGAGACCCUUCUGUUCUCCAGCAGACGAUCCGUCCGAGAUAUGAGACACACGGGCUUUGCGUGUGUCUCUCCUCCAGUACCAUACACAUACGUGUUCUGUUUCACCAAUCCCUGCGGAUCCUGACUUUUAAGAAAUAACACGUGCAGAGAUAAAUCUCAGUUGGUUUUUACUUUGAAAAAAUUUGCCAUGGAUGCAGUUGAAAUAGCCAGAUCUUUAAAACAAUUAAAAUGGCUGAGUUUGUAAAUGUCAAUGUGUGUCUUUUUAGGAACAUAGGUAUUGCAUAAAUAAAAUGCAUUUAGAUUUGCUAACAGACAUGAGUGCGUGAUCUCUAUUAGUUUUGUAUUGUAUUGUGAAUUCAGAAUUAUAAAACCUCUUGAAGAUACCUUUUCUGGCAUGUGUGAUAUAAGCUUUCUCUUCCUUUACCUGGUUCUCUUCUCCCAGCCCCUUGACAGUCACGGAAGAUAAAUACACAAAGGUACUCUGAGGAAACAAAUGCUUGGUUAUAAUAUGGAGUAAAAACAGCCUCUCAUGUUAAAACAUGCAAUUACCUUGUUUCCUUGCAAUAUUUGGUGUUUAAUUUUAAUGAUGGUUAUAUUGCAAACUGUUAUCUUUAGGACCG
Molecule: long non-coding RNA, 889 nt
Filed under: Dasypus novemcinctus (nine-banded armadillo)
Lineage: Eukaryota; Metazoa; Chordata; Mammalia; Cingulata; Dasypodidae
Description: lncRNA (ENSDNOG00000051516.1)
Source: RNAcentral